CAGUCGAACGUGAAAGACCUUCGGGUUGAGUAAAGUGGCGCACGGGUGAGUAACGCGUAGAUAAUCUGCCCCGCUGUCUGGGAUAACCUUUCGAAAGGGAGGCUAAUACCGGAUAACACGAUUUCUUUCAAGGGAGUCGUUGAAAGUUGCGGCGCAACGGGAUGAGUCUGCGUCCCAUUAGGUAGUUGGUGGGGUAAUGGCCUACCAAGCCUACGAUCUAUAGCUGGUUUGAGAGGAUGAUCAGCCACACUGGGACUGAGACACGGCCCAGACUCCUACGGGAGGCAGCAGUAGGGAAUCUUAGACAAUGGGGGCAACCCUGAUCUAGCCAUGCCGCGUGUGUGAUGAAGGCCCUAGGGUCGUAAAGCACUUUCGCCAGAGAUGAUAAUGACAGUAUCUGGUAAAGAAACCCCGGCUAACUCCGUGCCAGCAGCCGCGGUAAU
Molecule: ribosomal RNA, 443 nt
Filed under: uncultured Alphaproteobacteria bacterium
Lineage: Bacteria; Pseudomonadati; Pseudomonadota; Alphaproteobacteria
Description: bacterial SSU rRNA
Rfam family: Bacterial small subunit ribosomal RNA
Source: RNAcentral